GGAUGGCGCUGUAGCGUCGUGCCUAUACUCGGCCGUCAACGGCACAGUGGGCGGCCCCUUUGCGGGGGUCGGGCCGUUAAGCCUUGACGAGUAGGAGGGUCGCGGCGGUGUGCACUGAAGGGUCACGGCGUGAGCCGGCCUGGAGCCGCCGUCGGCGCAGAUCUUGGUGGUAGUAGCAAAUACUCCAGCGAGGACCUGGAGGACUGACGUGGAGAAGGGUUUCUUGUGAACAGCUGUUGCACAAGAGUCAGUCGACCCUAAGCCCUAGGAUAACUCUCACGUUGAUGGGGCGAAAGGGAAUCCGGUUCCUAUUCCGGAACCCGGUAGCGGAACCGUUCCAAAACGGGCCCUCGCGAGAGCUCGACGGGGCAACCCAAAGAGACCCGGAGACGCCGUCGGGAGAUCCGGAGAGAGUUUUCUUUUCUCUAUAAGCGUUCGAGUUCCCUGGAAUCCUCUAGCAGGGAGAUAGGGUUUGGAACGCGAAGAGCACCGCAGUUGCAGCGGUGUCCGGAUCUUCCCCUCGGACCUUGAAAAUCCGGGAGAGGGCUACGUGGAAUGUUCGCACCGGAUCGUACCCAUAUCCGCAGCAGGUCUCCAAGG
Molecule: ribosomal RNA, 600 nt
Filed under: Alchisme sp. NYSM 96-09-16-68
Lineage: Eukaryota; Metazoa; Arthropoda; Insecta; Hemiptera; Membracidae
Description: eukaryotic LSU rRNA
Rfam family: Eukaryotic large subunit ribosomal RNA
Source: RNAcentral